UAGAUUGUAGUGUAACAUGGUAGCACGAAGAACUUUGAAUUCUUAAGGGUAGGUUCAAUUCCUAUUAUUCUAG
RNAcentral lists this transfer RNA (73 nucleotides) under Eubalaena glacialis (North Atlantic right whale). RNAcentral describes it as "tRNA-Gln". It matches the Rfam family "tRNA". From Rfam's summary of the family: Transfer RNA (tRNA) molecules are approximately 80 nucleotides in length. Their secondary structure includes four short double-helical elements and three loops (D, anti-codon, and T loops). Lineage: Eukaryota; Metazoa; Chordata; Mammalia; Artiodactyla; Balaenidae. RNAcentral also lists the same sequence under 2 other names. The record is from RNAcentral.